CAGCCGCCACGGGAAUACGUAGGGGGCAAGCGUUAUCCGGAUUUACUGGGUGUAAAGGGAGCGCAGGCGGUGCGGCAAGUCUGAUGUGAAAGCCCGGGGCUCAACCCCGGGACUGCAUUGGAAACUGUCGUACUUGAGUAUCGGAGAGGUAAGUGGAAUUCCUAGUGUAGCGGUGAAAUGCGUAGAUAUUAGGAGGAACACCAGUGGCGAAGGCGGCUUACUGGACGAUAACUGACGCUGAGGCUCGAAAGCGUGGGGAGCAAACAGGAUUAGAUACCCCCGUAGUCCCUGUCUCUUAUAC
Molecule: ribosomal RNA, 301 nt
Filed under: uncultured bacterium
Lineage: Bacteria
Description: partial 16S ribosomal RNA
Rfam family: Bacterial small subunit ribosomal RNA
Source: RNAcentral